AUUUAAUCAAAUCUCUACAAUUUGAUGUGUUUAUGAAAUUUAGAAAAAUGCUUGGAAUAUGCUCUAUGUGAAAUUUUUCACUAAAGGUUUGACUACUCAAUUUGAAAAGAGAGGAAGAAAUGAAGAUGUUUGACUACUUAGUUUGAAAAGAGAAGAGUAGUUUGACCAAGAGGCACCAUUAUCCAUGAAGAGGUACGGC
Molecule: long non-coding RNA, 199 nt
Filed under: Elaeis guineensis (African oil palm)
Lineage: Eukaryota; Viridiplantae; Streptophyta; Magnoliopsida; Arecales; Arecaceae
Description: long non-coding RNA (EGUI_LNC082451)
Source: RNAcentral